CGACGCUGAUGCACGAAAGCGUGGGGAGCAAACAGGAUUAGAGUAGUCCACGCCCUAAACGAUGUCAACUGGUUGUUGGGGAAGGCAAAUUAGUAACGAAGCUAACGCGUGAAGUUGACCGGAGUACGGCCGCAAGGUUAAAACUCAAAGGAAUUGACGGGCACAAGCGGUGGAUGAUGUGGAGUUAAUUCGAUGCAACGCGAAGAACCUUACUUGACAUGCCAGGAACUCUGCUGAGAGGUAGAGGUGCCCGAAAGGGAGCACAGGUGCUGCAUGGCUGUCGUCAGCUCGUGUCGUGAGAUGUUGGGUUAAGUCCCGAGCGCCAACCCUUGUCACUAGUUGCUACGGAAACGGGCACUCUAGUGAGACUGCCGGUGACAAACCGGAGGAAGGUGGGGAUGACGUCAAGUCCUACAUGGCCCAUGGGUAGGGCUUCACACGUCAUACAAUGGCGCAUACAGAGGGUAGCCAACGGGAGCCAGAUCUCAGAAAGUGCGUCGUAGUCCGGAUUGCAGUCUGCAACUCGACUGCAUGAAGUCGGAAUCGCUAGUAAUCGCGGAUCAGCAAUGCGGUGAAUACGUUUCCCGGGUCUUGUACACACCGCCCGUCACACCAUGGGAGGUGGGUUUCACCAGAAGCAGGUAGCUUAACCCGC
RNAcentral lists this ribosomal RNA (655 nucleotides) under bacterium. Its description in RNAcentral is "bacterial SSU rRNA". It matches the Rfam family "Bacterial small subunit ribosomal RNA", at positions 741 to 1443 of the family's 1533-position model. The record is from RNAcentral.